UACACGUAAAGAUACAAGUGCUUGGUCCAAAUCUGGAGGUGCGUGACGGUCGAUCUCCUUCUCCCAACCCUCCUACAAAUGGCAAUAUUUUCCAUCCCUUUUUCUUCUCAGACCCCCAUCGUCUCCCACCCUAUCUAUUUAUAUCCAUAUCUUCCAUUCUCCAUCAGAUCAUAUCAGAUCAGACGGGGCACAUCUCCAGUUUGUGCCUGAAUCAAACCCCAUCUCAGCUGUCCAUCUGUCUGAUGGCUAAUCCAACGGUGUUAGAUUCACGCACAAACUCGUGAUCUGUCUCCUCUUCCAACACCGUACCCCCCUUUCCUGCUUCGCUUUUUAUCUGAAUUACUUUUCUUUGCAAAAAUAAAAAUUAAUUUAGCUUUUUGGCGCCAAUUCCGAUUCAGAUUUUCCCUCUCAAUCAGUUUUUGUUUCCCUCCAGACUCGGAAGAAGAAGAAUUGGGGAGGGGAAGAAUCUGAAAUAUUUGGGAAUCGGAUCGAAUGGAUUCGGGUCUGGAAUCAGGGUCAACGGAGGAUUACGAGACGGACGUGAAGCUCCUGAAGAGUGCGUGGCGGCAGGAGAAGGCCACUCCGGAGGUUCUUCAGUUCGAGAGUGCCUUGAUUCGGAGAAUCAUUGAGCAGAUCCAAUUGAUGGAAGAAACUGUGGAGGAGUUCACUGAGAGCGGUAUUGAUCCGCUUACCGUGUCACUCUACCAGAUGGAUUUGGACAGGACUCAGUUUUUGUUGAGAUCUUAUUACCGAAUUCGUUUGCAGAAGAUUGAGAAAUACAUGUUUCACAUUCGGGAUAAUGCUGAAAGCCGUCUCUAUGAUAAGGAGAAGCUGUUUGUUGAACAGCGAGGACUCCAACUAUCUCAUUUUUAGUUUGUGUUCAUUCAUUGGAAGCACAUGAUUGAGAUUUACUGUGUUUUGGAGUUGACAUGGUUAGUGGUUGCAGGUGCUGCGCUGAUUUGCAGACGCAUCUUGAAAAGAGCGUUCUGUUGCAGUUGCCUUCUACUUAUCAGUCUGUAUUCCGUCAAUCAAGUGAAAAGGAGACUGACAUGGGCAGAAUCGUAUAUGGUCGCUAUUGUGCUAAGAAAAACUUGUAAUAGCAUGCAGUGAGGUAUCCAAUGACAAGCUAGUGUGGAACCAAGGUUGUUUUCUAUGAAAAACUUGAAAUUCUUAGCCCCCCCCCCCCGGUAGUCUGAUCUUUCCCCGCGUGCCGAGACCCCAAUUGGAUACAUUUGUUGUCUGCAAAACGAAGUACCAUCUUGGACAUAUCCAGCUCAAAACCAAGUACCAUCUUGGACAUAUCCAGCUCGAGGACAGUGGAGAUGGAGAAUCAGAUAGCAGGCAACUCAUAUAUUCAUACUUAUUUACUCUUAUAGAGACUGUUGUUUCUUGUUCAGCUUACCGGUUUCAAUUCCCCUUAUGACAGUGCGAGCCAGAGACCAUUGGACGAGCCGUUUGAGAUGGAGCCUAAUGUGUUGUACUUUGUACGUUAUAAAGCAGUGAAGAAAUUUAAGAUUGAUUUAUACUGAGUACAAUCUUGCACCCUAUUGCUUGACCGAUUUCAUCUUGCACCCAUCAUGGAAGUGAGUUUCUGUGCAACAUCCAGCGCUUCUACGUCGAAUGUUGAAAAUGAUGAAAUCCUCAAACCAAAGGUGACGUCGCGGUCUCUCCACCUUAUUGCUUUACAACAUUUGCUUAGAAACUAUCCACGUGCAAGUCGGGGGAGCGGUUUUCUCCCUAGCAGGAUCUGUAUGUACUAAUCAUUUAUCAUUGCUUAAGAAUGGUCAUUGUGUACGAUUGCUAUUCUUUUCGAUGGAUUUUUAGUGUGCCGGAAACAUGACCAAAGGAAAAUUUCUCGUUUUUAUUAAUGUCAAUUUUUUUGGCAAA
Malus domestica (apple) is the source of this 1887-nucleotide non-coding RNA. The record is from RefSeq and is a predicted model, not a curated record. Lineage: Eukaryota; Viridiplantae; Streptophyta; Magnoliopsida; Rosales; Rosaceae.